UGGACAGCGACGAGGGCGCGCAAGGUGACGCCGUCCUGGACAUGGCCGACCUGGAGGAGGAGCUGUCCCAGAUCGAUCCAUACACCACGAUGCCCGCCCACACACCUAAAGGUCAUCAUCUUCGAGUUCCUCGAGGACUGAAGAGGAGCUGGCUUGCUGGAAGGAGGAUGUGCCCCAGUUCGAUCUGAAUUCAGAAACAAUUCAUCACCAACCAGCCCUAGGCAGAGGCAAACCAUUCGCCCCCUUGUGUCGUCCGUUUCGGCUCCGUCCGUGCCGUUGUAGUGGAUGCCGGCCAAUGGCACCUUUGGAGAAGGCUCUGGAAAGCUUUUGUGGCCAGUUGCACCAUAUGUCUGAUGAGUUCUGCAGCGGCGCAUGCGGCAUCCUUGCUAUUUACUUUGGCUUGAGAAGCAAAAUAGCCGUCAGUUUUGUUUCAUGAAUUUUUGUCUGGAUGUGCAAGUAAAGCAGGUCAUGGUAACACUUUUCAGUUGUUGAAGAGGACAUCCAGGUUAGCAGAGAAGCUGGCAGACCUGUAGCAGCAGAAGCCUGGUGCACCAUUUUCACCUGUUGGAAGCUGG
Molecule: long non-coding RNA, 575 nt
Organism: Lolium rigidum
Lineage: Eukaryota; Viridiplantae; Streptophyta; Magnoliopsida; Poales; Poaceae
Exons: 3
Source: RefSeq, a predicted model, not a curated record